Polychaeton citri CBS 116435 is the source of this 113-nucleotide non-coding RNA. The record is from the annotation of a GenBank genome assembly. Lineage: Eukaryota; Fungi; Ascomycota; Dothideomycetes; Capnodiales; Capnodiaceae.
GGCCGGUUGGCGCAAUGGAAGCGCGCUAGUUUUCGGCAGGAGCGACCCACUCAUGUGGUAGUUGUUCUGAAAUGAUACACUAGAGGUUGAGGGUUCGAGCCCCUUGCUGGUCG